Molecule: non-coding RNA, 316 nt
Organism: Fukomys damarensis (Damara mole-rat)
Lineage: Eukaryota; Metazoa; Chordata; Mammalia; Rodentia; Bathyergidae
Source: Rfam
GGAUGUGAGGGCCAUCUGGCUGUGACAUCUGUCACCUCACUGAUGUCCAGAGUUGAUUUGGCUGAUCUGGCUGGCUAGGAAGGUGUCCCCUUCCUUCCUCACCAUUCCAUGUACGUCCCUCCUGAAGUUGUGCAUUCUGUUGAAGGAGAUGACCACCCCCGAUAGAGGAGGAUGGUUUCCUCAGUCAAAGGUAUACAAGUAGCUGCGCUCCCCUGCUAGAACCCCCGAACACGCUCUAACAGAUGCCAAAGCCCUGUUUCAGCAUUGCUGAAAAGUUCAAGUUUAAAGUCUCCUCUGAGAUUUAAUGCAAACUCUU